GCCGGAGUGGCGGAAUUGGUAGACGCACUCGACUCAAAAUCGAGCGGGAAACCGUAGGGGUUCGAGUCCCCUCCUCGGCACCA
This 83-nucleotide transfer RNA is filed under the name Deinococcus ruber. RNAcentral describes it as "tRNA-Leu". It matches the Rfam family "tRNA". From Rfam's summary of the family: Transfer RNA (tRNA) molecules are approximately 80 nucleotides in length. Their secondary structure includes four short double-helical elements and three loops (D, anti-codon, and T loops). Lineage: Bacteria; Thermotogati; Deinococcota; Deinococci; Deinococcales; Deinococcaceae. The record is from RNAcentral. RNAcentral also lists the same sequence under 1 other name.